GCUGGGCAUGGUGGCGCACACCUGUAUUCCCAGCUACUUGGGAAGCUGAGGUGGGAGGAUUGCUUGAGCCCAGGAGUUCGAGGCUGCAGUGAGCUAUGAUUGCACCGCUGCACUCCAGCCUGGGUGACAAAGUGAGACCCUAUCUAAA
Molecule: non-coding RNA, 148 nt
Filed under: Homo sapiens (human)
Lineage: Eukaryota; Metazoa; Chordata; Mammalia; Primates; Hominidae
Source: Rfam by way of RNAcentral